RNAcentral lists this long non-coding RNA (480 nucleotides) under Elaeis guineensis (African oil palm). RNAcentral's name for it is "long non-coding RNA (EGUI_LNC058605)". Lineage: Eukaryota; Viridiplantae; Streptophyta; Magnoliopsida; Arecales; Arecaceae. The record is from RNAcentral.
CCAGGCGUGCACCCCUUAAAGGAUAAGAUAUGGAGGUUGCCCAUUUGAAUCCACAUUUGAAUUUGAAAAUUUCAAAUUCAAAUAAGGGACGAGAUCCAAUUUGAUUUCAAAUUGGUUGUUAUGCAUGUCCAAAAAGAAUGAUCUAAAGAGGUGGGCAUUUGCCCUCUUUUAUUUUCGUUCGAGGAAUUCUGAGGGAUGUCACCCCUUGUGGAUUAGGAAGUUAGGAGAGAGAGUUGGAUGCCCCAUUUGAAAUCUGAUUUCGAAUCUGUGCCGCCCCAAGUUGGUUAGGGUUUUGGGUCUAUAAAUAGAUCCCUUGUCAAAGGUCUUUGCAUCGAAAAUAAUAGACUCGAAACCUUACCAUUCUUCCACCUCUAUUACCCUCCAAUCUCACAUGCCUAAUAGUUAGGUUGCUCUCAUCUUCUAUGCCCAAAGGUGUUGGGCUGAUCCUUGAAGUGCUUAAAGGAGUUCAGGCACCAUCCA